GACCAGAAGCAGGGGCGACCCCAAGCUUCCCCAAAGCCCUAGUUCAUCACAAAACUCACAAAUUGAAGGUCCAAAUCUGAUCCAAAACGAAAUCCGAGCCAAGAUUAAUGAUCCCCAUCGAAAGGAGAUCAUAAGGAAAAGAUACCGGAGUGUCGGGCGGACAAGCCGGUGGUGACACGCGUUUGGAAGGAGCGGUUUAAAGGUAAUGAUGGGGACUUUCUGGAUGGCGAUCAAGCAUAUUUUGAAGAACCGAACACUACAUUUUGAAGCUUCCGCGCUUACCUAGUCUUGUUGCAAACAAUGUUUUAAUAAUGUAAUUACUUGAUUUGGUACUUUUGGGAUGUUAAACUCGUUGGUAGUUAACUACUAAGUUGACACUAUUAAA
This is a long non-coding RNA of Helianthus annuus (common sunflower), 385 nucleotides long. RefSeq lists it as uncharacterized. The record is from RefSeq and is a predicted model, not a curated record. The transcript has 3 exons. NCBI's taxonomy places the organism in Eukaryota, Viridiplantae, Streptophyta, Magnoliopsida, Asterales, Asteraceae.